Molecule: ribosomal RNA, 247 nt
Filed under: uncultured bacterium
Lineage: Bacteria
Description: partial 16S ribosomal RNA
Rfam family: Bacterial small subunit ribosomal RNA
Source: RNAcentral
UACAGGGGUGCAAACGUUGCUCGGAAUCAUUGGCGUAAAGCGCACGUAGGCGGUUCGUUAUGUCGGAUGUGAAAGCCCUUGGCUUAACCGAGGAAGUGCAUCGAAACUGGCGAGCUAGAGUACUAAGAGGAUCGCGGAAUUCCGGUGUAGAGGUGAAAUUCGUAGAUAUCAGGAGGAACACCGAUGGCGAAGGCAGAUCUCUGGGCCGUAACUGACGCUGAGGAGCGAAAGCGUGGGAGCGAACAGG